CAGUACAUUAAAUUUACUCAUAAAAACAUUCUAAAAAUGUACAAUUUUUCCUUUUUAACAAAGUAUAAUAAAACAUAAAAACCCCAAAAACAGAAUACUUGACAUUUACAAUUCAAAAUCAAAUUAGCAGACUGGCCGGCGCGCCCCUCCCUCCAGUAACAGUGUAGUAACAUUGACCUUUGGCCUCAACCAGCACAGUACGUAGUUUGCAAGUGUUGAUUAAAGAUACUCACUUUGAUUCAGAACCUCAGGACUUUUAAUUGAGCCUCUUCAGAACCCAUGGAUGUAAAUGUCACCUGCCUCAUUCUUUGGGAGUCAUCUGCACUUUGGAAAGGACGGCCACCUCACUCAGGGUCCACGGGCCCAUCCACUGGACGGGUGGUCGAGCUGAGCAGGGUCACGGUUUCCCUUACAACCUUUAAGACUCUUGGACAUGUAACGCCAUCAGUUAUCAGCGUGUAAAACUAGCAAGGCAUCUAGUAAGCCACCACAGAAGCAGGAAGAGUGACAGUGACGGAGCGAGGAGGGUGCGACCCAAG
RNAcentral lists this long non-coding RNA (539 nucleotides) under Bos taurus (domestic cattle). Its description in RNAcentral is "long non-coding RNA NONBTAT009058". The record is from RNAcentral. Lineage: Eukaryota; Metazoa; Chordata; Mammalia; Artiodactyla; Bovidae.